This is a long non-coding RNA of Salvelinus fontinalis (brook trout), 4040 nucleotides long. RefSeq lists it as uncharacterized. The transcript is spliced from 4 exons. Lineage: Eukaryota; Metazoa; Chordata; Actinopteri; Salmoniformes; Salmonidae. The record is from RefSeq and is a predicted model, not a curated record.
UGGGGGGAUAUACACGGCUGUGAUUAUAAUCUAAGAGAUUUCUCUUGGUAGAUAAUGCGGUCGGUAUUUGAUUGCAAGGAAUUCUAGGUCAGGUGAACAAAAGGACUUGAGUUCCUGUAUGUUGUUAUGAUCACACCACGACUCGUUAAUCAUAAGGCAUACACCCCCGCCCUUCUUCUUACCAGAGAGAUUUGUUUCUGUCGGUGUGAUGCAUGAAGAAACCGGGUGGCUGUACCGACUCUGAUAACAUAUCCCGAGUGAGCCAUGCUUCCGUGAAACAGAGAAUGUUACAAUCUCAGAUGUCUCUCUGGAAGGCAACCAGAAGACCGCUCUGUCUGUGGCGACAUUGUUUUGAGUCGCCUAGGGGAUCCAAUCCAUUGUCCUGGGUGGUGGUCCAAACAUAGGAUCCGCUUCAAGAAAGUCGUAUUCCUGGUCAUAAUGUUGCUAAGUCCCCUCCUGUUCCCUGAUUAAGAGGUGAUGACUACUCCACUCCACUACCACUUUCUCAUGACAUGAACUGAAGCCACAUCUCAUGUGCCUACUCAUCCACUGGCACAUUGAAUGUUUUCCCUCCACGCACUUCAAAUCCUAUCCUGCACUGGUCAAGCCUCUGAACACCUCAACUCAUGUCACAUACCCUCAUUCAAGCACUGCUGUGGUCCCUUUCCAACUGAACACGCAAAGUGAAAAGUUCACCCAAACGUCCCCAGGCCCCACUUAUGGAGUGGUGGAGUACGGGCAAUGGCUUUCUUUUUCCAUACCACCUCUGAGGACACCCGUCAUCCAUCCUGCUACCCUCUCUCCUGAACGGUAGGUGCACUCCUAGAACUGCCUCUCACCAAAUUGGAUUAAUUAAAAGCAUUGCUUUGAAGUGACAGGGCCUCGAACACUGAAGUGGCAGACUCUUAUUCACAGGAGACACGGCAGGGGGUGGAGGGGCAUGCAGAAAUAAUGGGAUGGAGAGACCAUGGGUGGGGUAAUGAGAGGGAGGAAAGAGAGCAUCUGUAGAACAGAGUGGGGGAAGGUGGGAAGGAAGAGGGCGAGGGAGGGAGAAGAAAAACUUGGCUGGAGAGAGCAACAGGGCUUUCGACUCUGUCAAUCACCAUAUUCUUAUCGGCAGACUCAGUAGCCUCGGUUUUUCUAAUGACUGCCUUGCCUGGUUCACCAACUACUUUGCAGACAGAGUUCAGUGUGUCAAAUCGGAGGGCAUGUUGUCCGGUCCUCUGGCAGUCUCUAUGGGGGUACCACAGGGUUCAAUUCUCGGGCCGACUCUUUUCUCUGUAUAUAUCAAUGAUGUUGCUCUUGCUGUGGGCGAUUCCCUGAUCCACCUCUACGCAGACGACACCAUUCUGUAUACUUCUAGCCCUUCCUUGGACACUGUGCUAUCUAGCCUCCAAACGAGCUUCAAUGCCAUACAACACUCCUUCCGUGGCCUCCAACUGCUCUUAAAACGCUAGUAAAACCAAAUGCAUGCUUUCAACCGUUUGCUGCCUGCACCCGCACGCCCGACUAGCAUCACCACCCUGGACGGUUCCGACCUAGAAUAUGUGGACAUCUAUAAGUACCUAGGUGUCUGGCUAGACUGCAAACUCUCCUUCCAGACUCAUAUCAAACAUCUCCAAUCCAAAAUCAAAUCUAGUCGGCUUUCUAUUUCGCAACAAAGGCUCCUUCACUCACGCCGCCAAACUUACCCUAGUAAAACUGACUAUCCUACCGAUCCUCGACUUCGGCGAUGUCAUCUACAAAAUAGCUUCCGAUACUCUACUCAGCAAACUGGAUGCAGUUUAUCACAGUGCCAUCCGUUUUGUUACUAAAGCACCUUAUACGACCCACCACUGCGACCUGUAUGCCCUAGUCGGCUGGCCCUCGCUACAUGUUCGUCGUCAGACCCACUGGCUCCAGGUCAUCUACAAGGCUAUGCUAGGUAAAGUGCCUCCUUAUCUCAGUUCACUGGUCACGAUGGCUACACCCACCCGUAGCACGCGCUCCAGCAGGUGUAUCUCACUGAUCAUCCCUAAAGACAAAACCUCAUUUGGACGCCUUUCCUUCCAGUUCUCUGCUGCCUGCGACUGGAACGAAUUGCAAAAAUCUCUGAAGUUGGAGACUUUUAUCUCCCUCAACAACUUUAAACAUCUGCUAUCCGAGCAGCUAAACGAUCGCUGCAGCUGUACAUAGUCCAUCGGUAUAUAGCCCACCCAAUUUACCUACCUCACCCCCCAUACUGCUUUUAUUUAUUUACUUUUCUGCUCUUUUGCACACCAGUAUCUCUACUUGCACAUGAUCAUCUGAUGAUUUAUCACUCCAGUGUUAAUCUGCUAAAUUGUAAUUAUUCGAUUUAUUGCCUACCUCAUGCCUUUUGCACACAUUGUAUAUAGAUUAUUUUUUUCUACCAUGUUAUUGACUUGUUUAUUGUUUACUCCAUGUGUAACUCUGUGUUGUUGUCUGUUCACACUGCUAUGCUUUAUCUUGGCCAGGUCGCAGUUGCAAAUGAGAACUUGUUCUCAACUAGCCUACCUGGUUAAAUAAAGGUGAAAUUAAAAAAUUUAAAAAAAGGGAAAGGAGGCAAACAAAAAAGAGGAAAUAAAAGUGGGAGGCCUUUCUCUCUUCCUCUCCUAAAAACAUCUGACUUUGUGGCAGUAUUUCCCCAGAGCACCUGACAUACAAUUAAACACAUCGACUCCCCCACUGAAGCCUCUCCUCGUCAAGAACAUGAGCAGCCACUGCAGAUGGACCGCAACUCAGAGUUGGACUCCUGGGAGAACAUUUUGGGGCUGGAAGAUGGCUACUGCAACAAGAGUGCUGUAACUUAAGCUCUAGCAUCCAAUUAGUUCCGCCACCUAUCGGACUGAAUAUUCUGAUGAUUGUGCUGGGUCAGAGGCUAGUCUGUGUAGGUGCUUAAGAGGGAGUAUCCAUUCACAGAGGAGCAUACAGUAGUUAUGUAAGUUCUCUGUUCUGUGCCUACUCCACCUCAGCAACAUUGACAGGGGCAAAGGGAGGUAUUGUAUGGGCAAUCAGACUGGCCCUGUAGCCAACCACUUGCUCAGCUGUGCCAGGUUCUCAGUCACUCCCAGCAGCACUCUCCAGGGUAAUUUAUGAAGUUAAGUGCAAUGCUUUCAUCAAUUUCCCAGUUCUAAUUUCUAUCCAUUUACACCGUUAUGUAAUUAUCUCAGUUAAUAUAGAGGCACGGCUUUGUUUGUUUGUUUUCCCUCUACCUCUUUGCACCGGUCUGAAUCUUCAUCUCUAGUAUAAACACAUACACCCUCAGUUGUUCAGGUGGACCAACACUAGAUAAAGCUCAACCUCUUUAAACCCCCAGGGUGUCCAUGUGUCAGAUCAUUGUGGGACCUUUUGGUCAGAUCUGAUACAGCAGAGCAGCAACAGCGAGGAAUCCAAUGAUUCGGUUGAUUAUAUAUCUCCCCUGAGUAGUUAUCAAGAAAAUAUGAAAAAUUCAGCAGAUUAGAAAUGGUUCCCUUUUUUAAACAAAUAAGGAUGCAGUUUCAUGAUAAAAAACGUAAUUCUCAAGAAGCAAAUGAUUCUGGAAGACAUGAAAACCCCCAAGCGGAAAACAAUCCUAAUAUUUGUUCAUUUUGAUUGCUCUCGUUAUUUUUGCUCAAGGCCUGGCUUUGCUGGCCAAAAGUGAGUAUUUCUGUAGGAGGGGAUGUGGGUUGUUUACCAGAACCAUUUGCCAUGAAUAAACCCACAAAGAUGUGAUAAAAAUAAAAGGAAGCAAAAAUAUCCGUAGAAAAAAAAUCAUUAUUUCCAUCCAAUGUUACCACUAGGUCCAAGCUCUCAAGAGCAGGAGGUCAGUCUUGAAGAUCCUGUGCACAGUAUUCUGUACUGUGAACAUGACUGCCCCCAAUGACAUUGUAUUGUUCAAAUUACUGAAUACAAAAUGUUCCAGGAUUAUAAACAGGAUAUGUUGCUGUUAUGCAAUCAAUUAAUGCAUUAUUUAUAAGACAAAUUCUCUUAAUUCUCAUACUGUAAAAUAGCAAGAGACUGACAAGGUUUCAAACAAGUCAUAACGGCUCACCAUGUAAAAU